GCUAAUUUUUUGUAAUUUUUUUUUUCAGUAGAGACAAGAUUUCACUGUGUUAGCCAGGAUGGUCUCGAUCUUCUGACCUCAUGAUCCACCCGCCUCGGCCUCCCAAAAUGCUAGGAUUACAGGCAUGAGCCACCGCGCCCGGCCAGUCACCCCUUUCUUAAUGGCACAGGCAGGACAAGGACUUUUUCCAGGGGUAGGGGAUGAAGGCAAGCCACUGUGAAUGCAGACAAUUUCUCCACCAAGGCUGAGGAGCACAGGCAAAAGCAGCUUCUCGAAAGCAGUGAUCAGUCUAGUAUGGGAAUUGCAGGGUGCUGCCCACCUCUCUCGACUGAUAAACCAAGGCAUCAUGCAAUUCUUCUUCAACACUAGGUUUGUAGACAGAUGGCUCCUAGGCCCCUGACCACAGAGAAAAGGGUUCCAUGGAAAUGGGGAAAACAGCCCAAAAAGGGAGGCUGGGGGCACAGGAGACUGGCUGGUUUACCUACAGCACACCAUCUGCAUGAUGAUGUAGACCCCUGAGUACCCCAGGACCAGCCCAGUCUCUCCCCAAAACCUAACAGCAGAGCCUCGGCCCUGAAAUCAGCAUGGUCUCGAGGUGUACAAAGCCCAGAAAGUUUGCUGUCACCUGGUCUCCCCUAACCCUUUCUCUGGCACCAUCAUUCACCCAAACUUCCACUAACAAAAGUCCUGGCGUUGCUCAGCAGGGUUCCCAAGUGCUGUUUCCUAGACUCAAGGCGCUACAUGACCUCACUUGGGGAACAUGGGUGUCCUGGGACUGCGUCAUGUUCACCUGAAAGGAGGCCUAAGGGAGAAAGUCCUGGGCCUCAUUUUUAUUUUCUACUUCCCGCUGCCUUAAAGCCUUUGAGAAGUGAUGAGGGGAGGAAAGGACGAAGGGAGAGAGGGAGGCAGAGACUGGAAGCGAAGGAGAAGUGAAGGGCCGUCGAUUGGCUCAUUCAUUGGUUCUGACCAAAAAAGAGAUAAAUCACUUUUUACCUAUUUUACUAAACCUGUGAGGUUAUCGUGAGCAUCAAAUGAAAUAAAAAUGAAAGGAUUUCUUCAAGUACGGAGCACACGAAUUUAGGCCCCAUCUUAAAAAGAGGCAAAAGUCUCUUAAAUUUAACAGAGACAGUCCUCCCGACCAAAAUUAUUUUUUUCUCGCUUUUUUUUAAAUUUAGCUUUGCCAGAGAGCCUGCGAAUGUUACAGAAGGACUGUGAGGUCAGCCAGCUGCUCCCAUGGAACGCCGAUGACAUGCUGGGAGUGCAGUACUGCACUGCGCACAGCCUCGUGGAUGAGCCGAGAGCCGGCUCUCACAGGAUGGGGUUGGCAACUUUGGCCACGUUCACCUAUGCCUAAGAAAGAGACUGCAAGACACUCCAUGCAUCUGCUUUUACAAAUUAAGACCAAAUAUGGAAGAGACAUCAAAAAGAUUUUCAUCAUCGCCUGCUAAGAGCAGGGGAGAGCAGAGGAAAGAGCGAAUGGAAACUAGAGAGGAAAGAGAAUAGAGGCAGAUCACUGAGGAAGAGGAAAGCUGUGUGGACAC
This 1541-nucleotide long non-coding RNA is filed under the name Macaca fascicularis (crab-eating macaque). RNAcentral describes it as "lncRNA (ENSMFAG00000059269.1)". Lineage: Eukaryota; Metazoa; Chordata; Mammalia; Primates; Cercopithecidae. The record is from RNAcentral.